CCACCUAGUGAAUGGAGGUCCUAAGCAGGCUCAUCUCUGAAUGGAAAAACACAGACGCGCUGUUUUGAAUCACUCUCCGUGUGUCUCAUUAGUUUACUAGCUCAUAAAUCAGUCUGUGAAUCCCCAAUCGGAAGUAAUUAUUCUGUCAAAGAUCAGCGCUCUUGGAUGUUACGUUAAAGUUAAUGGGAGAAAUGUCUUGUCACAUCGUGUGGACGAUUAACACUUGGAAAGAGGAAUAUAAACACUCGUUUUUUUCUGGAGCUAUAUCUUUUAUCAGAACGCGAAAACACAGUGGAACUGCAGUGUGUCCUUGUAAACGUGUACUCGGAAACAUGCAGAUUACAGUAUUUACAGAGCCGACCUUGAGGCACCCACUGAUGGAUAAUCUGUUUACCUAAAAACAGCCCACCACAAUCCAUGUUUACCAGCUGUGAAAGUGCAGGCCAAAAAUCUUCCUUCACCUGUGGGCCUCUACCCACAUGUAAAUAAGCACUUCAGGAGAAACCUGCCUGUGAUCUGCUAAGAUGCACAGAUUCAACUCUGGCCCAUUGUCAUCCCAACACCUCAUCUGCCAUCAGUUUCGUUUAGUGUCGGUCUAUUGCAAAAGUUCUUAUAAACUUUAAAUGAGACUUUGUGUUAAGCAGGGGUUUCCAAACUUUUCAUUCCACAACAUAUUAAGCCCAGGAUACACAGCAGGAUUUUUGCAAUCCAAUAAGACCUUAUCACACUGUGUGACAAGGAUUGUUUAAACUUCAGCAGUAGACUGUCGAUGAAGACACCUAUUGCAUCUGAAGCUGCGACAUCUGUCAUCAACAUGCGCUAGUGGUAAACAAAUAAAGGUAUGCAGGUCGUAGAAGCAAACACAUUGUUGAUGUGCGAUGAUCAUGCUGAACUUCUUACACUGUCAUAAAACUAUCGUAGGUGUCUUUGGUCCCAGGACUGGGAAAACAGACGUCUUUAAACCUCUCACACUGUAUGAGAUAGGACCACCAAUUAAGAGCCACGAUCACAGAAAUCUCCACGAUUGUUUCACGAUUGGUAAUCUUUCAUCUGGGACAGCCAAAAAUCGUGCCGUGUAUUAUGGGCUUCAGACAGGUGUAAUCUUAUAGUAUAUCAAAACCAUUGCUAAUAAUUAAUUGGACAAACCAUCACUACAAUGCAACACUCACUAUCUUACGGUGUGACCCACAAGUGGGUCUUCACCCACAGUUUAAAAACCCUGAGUAUGAGAAAGAGUAUGUUGUAUUGUAAUUAAAGUCACAUCUAAGUGUUUUGGAACAGUUUGUCAUUAUAUUCACAGUAUUACAUGGUUCUUUCAGCAGUUACUACGUUACAGUGCUCUUAAAGUGUCCUGAUCAGCUUUGGGUCUUGUGAAGUAAUGUAAUGAGAACGUGAUCAAUAGCUUUGCAGUAUUUUGUUACACUGUGGCUGUAAUCAUAUUAACACAUAGGUUAAACCUUUUUUUUCAAAUU
This is a long non-coding RNA of Paramisgurnus dabryanus, 1472 nucleotides long. RefSeq lists it as uncharacterized. The record is from RefSeq and is a predicted model, not a curated record. Lineage: Eukaryota; Metazoa; Chordata; Actinopteri; Cypriniformes; Cobitidae.